UACGGAGGGGGCUAGCGUUGUUCGGAAUUACUGGGCGUAAAGCGCACGUAGGCGGAUUGGCAAGUUGGGGGUGAAAUCCCAGGGCUCAACCCUGGAACUGCCUUCAAAACUCCCAGUCUGGAGGUCGAGAGAGGUGAGUGGAAUUCCGAGUGUAGAGGUGAAAUUCGUAGAUAUUCGGAGGAACACCAGUGGCGAAGGCGGCUCACUGGCUCGAUACUGACGCUGAGGUGCGAAAGCGUGGGGAGCAAACAGG
RNAcentral lists this ribosomal RNA (253 nucleotides) under uncultured bacterium. Its description in RNAcentral is "partial 16S ribosomal RNA". It matches the Rfam family "Bacterial small subunit ribosomal RNA", at positions 524 to 776 of the family's 1533-position model. The record is from RNAcentral.